AGUGAACGCUGGCGGUAGGCCUAACACAUGCAAGUCGAACGGCAGCACAGUAAGAGCUUGCUCUUACGGGUGGCGAGUGGCGGACGGGUGAGGAAUACAUCGGAAUCUACUUUUUCGUGGGGGAUAACGUAGGGAAACUUACGCUAAUACCGCAUACGACCUACGGGUGAAAGCAGGGGAUCUUCGGACCUUGCGCGAUUGAAUGAGCCGAUGUCGGAUUGGCUAGUUGGCGGGGUAAAGGCCCACCAAGGCGACGAUCCGUAGCCGGUCUGAGAGGAUGAUCAGCCACACUGGAACUGAGACACGGUCCAGACUCCUACGGGAGGCAGCAGUGGGGAAUAUUGGACAAUGGGCGCAAGCCUGAUCCAGCCAUACCGCGUGUGUGAAGAAGGCCUUCGGGUUGUAAAGCCCUUUUGUUGGGAAAGAAAAGCAGCAGGUUAAUACCCCGCUGUUCUGACGGUACCCAAAGAAUAAGCACCGGCUAACUUCGUG
Molecule: ribosomal RNA, 492 nt
Filed under: uncultured bacterium
Lineage: Bacteria
Description: partial 16S ribosomal RNA
Rfam family: Bacterial small subunit ribosomal RNA
Source: RNAcentral